This 470-nucleotide long non-coding RNA is filed under the name Cricetulus griseus (Chinese hamster). RNAcentral's name for it is "lncRNA (ENSCGRG00015036923.1)". The record is from RNAcentral. Lineage: Eukaryota; Metazoa; Chordata; Mammalia; Rodentia; Cricetidae.
UCGGAGCGACGCUAGUCCCCGGCGGCCGGCACCGGGCCGCGAGGGCUAGCCUGGGAGUACCGUGGGGGCGGGACGGCUGCACCUCGGGGUAGUAGUUUUUUGAGUUUAAGAGGUGGAAGGGAUCCUCCUAGCCGGAUUGCUGCAGCCUAAGCUGGGCACUGGCCGUAUCGAACCCCAGGAAGGGGAAGCGAACGCGUGGAAUUUCCGCAAACUGGACGAAAAUCCGUCUUCCACUGGAGCUGGAAAUAGACUUUGUAAAAGAUAUUAUGUAAUGGAGUCUUGGGAAGCCCGAGACGUCUCCAGCCAAACUGCUGGGCAAUAUAUUAAGAACUGGGAACCACUAAAGAUCUGAGCCUGGACAAGCAAUAAUAUGGAGGCCACUACCCAUCCUUCUUGAGACUCCAUAGGUAGACUUAGAAAUAGAAACGUGGUAUUUCACCUGCAUGUGUGUCUGUGAAUCUCUUGCAUGC